GGGAGGAAAAGAAACUAACAAGGAUUUUCUUAGUAGCGGCGAGCGAAAAGAAAAAAGUUCAGCACUAAGUCACUUUGUCUCUAUGGCAAAUGUGAGAUGCAGUGUAUGGAAUGUCGGAUAUCUAGUAUGAGAAAUUAACGAUUUAAGUCCUUCUUAAAUGAGGCCAUUUACCCAUAGAGGGUGCCAGGCCCGUAUAACGUUAAUGAUUACUAGACGGCAUUUCCAAAGAGUCGUGUUGCUUGAUAGUGCAGCACUAAGUGGGUGGUAAACUCCAUCUAAAACUAAAUAUAACCAUGAGACCGAUAGUAAACAAGUACCGUGAGGGAAAGUUGAAAAGAACUCUGAAUAGAGAGUUAAAUAGUACGUGAAACUGCUUAGAGGUUAAGCCCGAUGAACCUGAAUAUCCAUUAUAGAAAAUUCAUCAUUAUGAUUUUAAUAUUUGUAAUAUUAUAAUAAUGGUGUGCAUUUUUUCUAUAUAAGGACAUUGUAAUCUAUUAACAUCAAUAUUUAUCAAAAGAUCAUUUGCGAAGGUUUAAUCAAAUUAUUUUGCUUGCAAUUUAACAUAGGUUAAAUGCUUAUGACUUGAUAAAGUGUUGAUAGAUUUAUUAUAUAUAGUGCUUGAAUAUUUAUAUUCUAUAAUAGCAUAUUAAUUAUUAAUUUUUAUGUUUAUUAUAUGCGCUUAUAUGAUUAACAAUGCGAAAGAUUCAGGAUACCUUCGGGACCCGUCUUGAAACACGGACCAAGGAGUCUAACAUAUUUGCAAGUUAUUGGGAAUUAAAACCUAAUAGCGAAAUUAACAUAACUUAUAUAAUGGGAUUAGUUUUUAGCCUAUUUAUAGUCUAUUAAUUCAAUCCCGGGGCGUUCUAUACGGUUAUGUAUAAUAGUAUUUAUAUUAUUUAUACCUCUAACCAGAGCGUACCUUGAGCAUAUAUGCUGUGACCCGAAAGAUGGUGAACUAUACUUGAUCAGGUUGAAGUCAGGGGAAACCCUGAUGGAAGACCGAAACAG
Molecule: ribosomal RNA, 1008 nt
Filed under: Chetogena sp. 1 MATM-2012
Lineage: Eukaryota; Metazoa; Arthropoda; Insecta; Diptera; Tachinidae
Description: eukaryotic LSU rRNA
Rfam family: Eukaryotic large subunit ribosomal RNA
Source: RNAcentral